AGAGUUUGAUCCUGGCUCAGGAUGAACGCUGGCGGCAUGCCUAAUACAUGCAAGUCGAACGAAGUUUCGAGGAAGCUUGCUUCCAAAGAGACUUAGUGGCGAACGGGUGAGUAACACGUAGGUAACCUGCCCAUGUGUCCGGGAUAACUGCUGGAAACGGUAGCUAAAACCGGAUAGGUAUACAGAGCGCAUGCUCAGUAUAUUAAAGCGCCCAUCAAGGCGUGAACAUGGAUGGACCUGCGGCGCAUUAGCUAGUUGGUGAGGUAACGGCCCACCAAGGCGAUGAUGCGUAGCCGGCCUGAGAGGGUGACCGGCCACAUUGGGACUGAGACACGGCCCAAACUCCUACGGGAGGCAGCAGUAGGGAAUUUUCGUCAAUGGGGGAAACCCUGAACGAGCAAUGCCGCGUGAGUGAAGAAGGUCUUCGGAUCGUAAAGCUCUGUUGUAAGUGAAGAACGGCUCAUAGAGGAAAUGCUAUGGGAGUGACGGUAGCUUACCAGAAAGCCACGGCUAACUACGUGCCAGCAGCCGCGGUAAUACGUAGGUGGCAAGCGUUAUCCGGAAUCAUUGGGCGUAAAGGGUGCGUAGGUGGCGUACUAAGUCUGUAGUAAAAGGCAAUGGCUCAACCAUUGUAAGCUAUGGAAACUGGUAUGCUGGAGUGCAGAAGAGGGCGAUGGAAUUCCAUGUGUAGCGGUAAAAUGCGUAGAUAUAUGGAGGAACACCAGUGGCGAAGGCGGUCGCCUGGUCUGUAACUGACACUGAGGCACGAAAGCGUGGGGAGCAAAUAGGAUUAGAUACCCUAGUAGUCCACGCCGUAAACGAUGAGAACUAAGUGUUGGAGGAAUUCAGUGCUGCAGUUAACGCAAUAAGUUCUCCGCCUGGGGAGUAUGCACGCAAGUGUGAAACUCAAAGGAAUUGACGGGGGCCCGCACAAGCGGUGGAGUAUGUGGUUUAAUUCGAAGCAACGCGAAGAACCUUACCAGGCCUUGACAUGGAAACAAAUACCCUAGAGAUAGGGGGAUAAUUAUGGAUCACACAGGUGGUGCAUGGUUGUCGUCAGCUCGUGUCGUGAGAUGUUGGGUUAAGUCCCGCAACGAGCGCAACCCUUGUCGCAUGUUACCAGCAUCAAGUUGGGGACUCAUGCGAGACUGCCGGUGACAAACCGGAGGAAGGUGGGGAUGACGUCAAAUCAUCAUGCCCC
Molecule: ribosomal RNA, 1201 nt
Filed under: human gut metagenome
Description: bacterial SSU rRNA
Rfam family: Bacterial small subunit ribosomal RNA
Source: RNAcentral